Molecule: long non-coding RNA, 444 nt
Organism: Ceratina calcarata
Lineage: Eukaryota; Metazoa; Arthropoda; Insecta; Hymenoptera; Apidae
Exons: 3
Source: RefSeq, a predicted model, not a curated record
GCGAAAUUUUGAAUUCUGGUACCAGUAAAGUAUCAGUCUUCGUAUAAGUGAUAUGGACUGACAUUGAAAUUGAAAGUGAGGAAAUUCUCGAAAAAUACAAGGUUUACGAAAUGGAACAAGGCUGCUUCUGAUGUCAAUAACAUGUAAAAACGGAACGUAGGAGGACCCUUCGUCUCAUUCCUCCUGGUAGAGGGCUGGAUUCGAGGCACGGAGGAUUAUAUUGAAAAGGCACAACGACUGGGAAAUUGAACAAGGCUGAUCCUGAUCUUGGCAACAGCAGGAAUGAAACGAAGGAGGACCUCUUGUCUUAUUACACGUGGCAGAGGGACUGGAUUCGAGGCAUGAUGAAGAUAUUCGGAGAACAUGCAACCAGUGUGCACCUAACCAAUUAAUAACCUAUUAAUACUCAUUUAUUGUAUUCAUAAUUUAAUUAUUAUGUACUUA